GCCUGGGUGGCUUAGUUGGUUAAGCAUCCGACUUCAGCUCAGGUCAUGAUCUCGCGGUCCGUGGGUUCAAGCCCCACGUCAGGCU
Molecule: transfer RNA, 85 nt
Filed under: Felis catus (domestic cat)
Lineage: Eukaryota; Metazoa; Chordata; Mammalia; Carnivora; Felidae
Rfam family: tRNA
About the family: Transfer RNA (tRNA) molecules are approximately 80 nucleotides in length. Their secondary structure includes four short double-helical elements and three loops (D, anti-codon, and T loops).
Source: Rfam by way of RNAcentral